UUAUGGGUAGACAACAAGUGUAACGCAACCAUUGGAUAUAUAUUUAUAAACUAUAAAAUAUAGAUAUUGUAAUAGAUCUAAGCCUAUUUCCAGUAAGAAACAUAAGCAUUCAACUUUCAAAUAACAAGUUAUCACCUGUUAAAGAAGAAAGCCUAGGAAGCACUGACAAACCUAGUACAUCUAAAGAGUUUUGAGAUGGAUUUUCCGGAACAUUAUUUGCACCUAAGGGAAGUGUUAAAGUGUCUGAGUAUUCACAAUUUAACAGCCAAUGUAGAGAAGAUUAAGUUUUGUUUUAGUGCAAUAAAAUUCAUAAGCCAUAUUGUGAACAAAAAUGAAUUAAACAUUGAUCCAGGUAGAACUGUAAACAUUCAACAUAGUACUAGGUUUAUUGGCAUGACUUCUUAUUUUUCAAAAUGUAUACAUAAUUAUGUGGAAAUAGCUGCUCCACUGAAUGCUAUGCGAAAGAAAAAUGCGGAAUUUGUCUGGACUGAGGAGUGUGAUUGAGCUCAUGCUUAUUACAAAAGGAUGAGAACGGCGAGAUGAAGGUGAUAGCCUAUUAUUCAAGAAAAUUUAAUUAAGAUGUGUUGAAGUCAGCCUAUGUUGUGCCAAUUCACAAAUCAGGACCUAUCGAUGUGGCAUUCAACUAUAGACCAGGUCUCGAUCCUUUCCACUCUGUCAAAGAUUUUUGAGGACUUAUUUCUUGAUUCGAUCAAGUACAGAGGGGCUGAUUUGAUAUGUCCACGGCAGCAUGGCUUCACAGCAGGUACCUCGAAUAGGUAAGGUCCAGGAGGCAGUGGUCAGCAGUGAAGGGGACUUUGGCAAUCACCAACUUUAUCCUAACUGAACAUGUGUUUAUUUUCAAUUACCUUUGUAACAAUAUUAAAACUUAGGAGUGAUUUUAAAUGUACCUAUAUUGCAAUGUUUAACCAGUUCUAAUGGUUUUCAGAAAUAUUUUUUGUUUAAUUUACUUUAUGUUGAGUUUCAACCAUUGAAAAACUAUUUGGGAAUUUUGUAAUUCAGAUUAGAUGUUUAAAGUUGUAAUAAAUAACAUUUGGUACUUA
Molecule: long non-coding RNA, 1061 nt
Filed under: Homalodisca vitripennis (glassy-winged sharpshooter)
Lineage: Eukaryota; Metazoa; Arthropoda; Insecta; Hemiptera; Cicadellidae
Description: uncharacterized LOC124369775, transcript variant X4
Source: RNAcentral